UUUUUUUUAUUUUUAUUUUUAAAGAAAUAAAAAUUAAUAGAAUUAUUUUUAAAGUAUAAUAUUUAGAAAGUUUAUUUAUAGUAACUGAAAAGGAAUUUUUAACUUUUUAAAAUUAAAAAUUAAAAAGUUUAUUAAAGUACCUUUUGCAUCAGGGUUUUUUAAAAAAAUUAAUUUAUAAAUUAAUUUCCCGAAAUUAAAAUGAUCUAUUAAAAUAUAAGUUUUUUGUAAAAUUAUGAAAUUUAAUUUUUUAAUAGAAAUGAAAUUUUUUUCAUAUUUUAAGAUAUCUGGUUAUUAAAAAUGUUGAUUAUACAUCUAAUUAUUAAAAAUAUUUAACUGUAAAAUUUAAAAUAAUUUAGGUUUAUAGGGAUAAGCUUAUAAAAUAAUUUUUAUUAUUUAAUAAAUUAAUUUAUUAAAUAAAGGAAUGAAAUUGUCUUGGUUUUUUAAUAAAAAAUUAAAUCAUAUUAUAGUUUUUAAAAUUUUUUUAAUGAUUUAUUUAAUUUAUAAUAAAUGUAAAUAUUAAAAAAUUAGUAAAAGAUUAAUAUUAUUAAUUAUUUAUAUAAAUUUAUUAUAAAUUAUUAAUUUAAUCUCAAUGAAUUAGGCAAAUAAUUUCUCUGACUGUUUAAUAAAAACAACACAUUUAGAAAAAAAAAUAAAUGCAAAUCCUGCUCAAUGAAUUUUUUAAAUUGCUGUAGUAUUUUGACUAUACAAAGGUAUUGAAAUAAGAUUUUAAUUGAAUGCUAAGAGAAUGGAAUUUCAGGGAAAAGCUUUAUUGAAAUUAAAAUUUGAAGUUUUUUUAAUUUGUGCAGAAACAAUUAUUAAUAUUAAGGACAAGAAGACCCUAUGAAUUUAUUAAAUUUUACUAAUAAAUAAUUAUGUUAAUAAAAUUUUGGCUGGGGCGGCAAAAAAAUAUUAAGAACUUUUUAAUUUCAAAAUGAUCCAUUAUUAAUGAUUAUAUGAAAAAUACUCUAGGGAUAACAGCGUUAUAUUUUUUGAUAGAUCAUAUUGACAAAAAAGUUUGCGACCUCGAUGUUGGAUUAGGAUACUUUUUUAAUGAAGAAAUUAAAAAAAGAAGUUUGUUCAACUUUUAAACUCCUACAUGAUCUGAGUUCAGACCGGCGUAAGCCAGGUUGGUUUCUAUCUUAAUAAUAAUACUAAUUUUUUUAGUACGAAAGGAAUUAAAAAUUUUAAUUUAGUUAAUUAAACUAUAGUUUAUUAAUAUUAA
RNAcentral lists this ribosomal RNA (1222 nucleotides) under Ixodes rubicundus. RNAcentral's name for it is "16S ribosomal RNA". The stretch from base 826 to 1140 matches the Rfam family "Archaeal large subunit ribosomal RNA", at positions 2155 to 2712 of the family's 2987-position model. Lineage: Eukaryota; Metazoa; Arthropoda; Arachnida; Ixodida; Ixodidae. The record is from RNAcentral.